Molecule: non-coding RNA, 72 nt
Organism: Parelaphostrongylus tenuis
Lineage: Eukaryota; Metazoa; Nematoda; Chromadorea; Rhabditida; Metastrongylidae
Source: the annotation of a GenBank genome assembly
ACCCCUAGUGGCGCAGCGGUUAGCACGCGUUCCUGGAAAGGGUGAAACAAGGGUUCAAACCCGCCUAAGGUU